RNAcentral lists this ribosomal RNA (253 nucleotides) under uncultured bacterium. RNAcentral's name for it is "partial 16S ribosomal RNA". It matches the Rfam family "Bacterial small subunit ribosomal RNA", at positions 524 to 776 of the family's 1533-position model. The record is from RNAcentral.
UACGUAGGGGGCAAGCGUUGUCCGGAAUUAUUGGGCGUAAAGCGCGCGCAGGCGGUCCUUUAAGUCUGAUGUGAAAGCCCACGGCUCAACCGUGGAAGGUCAUUGGAAACUGGAGGACUUGAGUACAGAAGAGGAAAGCGGAAUUCCACGUGUAGCGGUGAAAUGCGUAGAGAUGUGGAGGAACACCAGUGGCGAAGGCGGCUUUCUGGUCUGUAACUGACGCUGAGGCGCGAAAGCGUGGGGAGCAAACAGG